This is a long non-coding RNA of Setaria italica (foxtail millet), 2295 nucleotides long. RefSeq lists it as uncharacterized. NCBI's taxonomy places the organism in Eukaryota, Viridiplantae, Streptophyta, Magnoliopsida, Poales, Poaceae. The transcript has 3 exons. The record is from RefSeq and is a predicted model, not a curated record.
UUUGGCUGGCUGUUGUGUCUCUAUUUGUGGGACCCACCUGUCAUUUGUAACUGUUUGGAUUUUUGGGAAACGCGCUCUUUCUUAUCCAGGCCGACUGCUUCUCCCCGAACCGUCCCCUGCUUUUCCCGAACAGUUCCCACGUCUUUUCGUCGGAGUCCUCGAGCUCUCCUCCAGGUGAAUGUUUCUAGGGUUUGGAGAUUCCUCUCGAUUUCGAGUUUCCCCCGACUUUUUCCUGCGAUUCGAUUCCAGUAGCUGUGGUUAGGGUUUGUGAAGUGUUGGCGCAUCGAUUGGUGGAUGUUUUGGUCACUGAUUUCGAUCCCCUCAUCUCAAAAUAUUUCAUUUGUUCAUCUCAUUUGCUUCAUUUAAGGUUUGAUAUGUUACAUUCGGUUCAUUCCCUCAUGUAUAACUUCUGUUAUUUGACUAGAUUUUAUAGGUGGUAGGUGUUAUUGUUGAAUCGUUAUUUUUACUGACUAAUUUUUAGUUUCAAUCGAUGAUUGCAAUUCCCUGCAGUUCGAAUCGAUUUGUGUGUUCGUCUGUGAUGCUUCAUCCAGGCUGUUCUGAUUUGUGCUAAUUAGAUUAGUAAUGAUUCGUAGGUUGUUUUGCUAUUGUUGAGUGAGGGGUUGUUCUAGUGAACGAAAAUUCCAGGCUAUAGUGCUUAGAGUUUCACUAAUUUAUGUACUAGAGUCGAUUUCUUAUUUGCUAUUAUGUUUUGGCAAUUAAUAGGUCCUCCCCUAGUUUAUAUCUGGACUUUUAGGCACUCAUAAUCCUGUUAGUAGUGUUGGGUUGGGUAAUUUGAUGGUGACCCCAUUCAACUGACUAGUUAUUCUGCUUCACAUGGCAUAUGUCAUUAUUUAUAUUCCCUUCUAAGUCCGUAUGUAUCAACUACCCAUUAUCAGAUCCCUUUCUAUGUAGUUUGUUCAAAUAUUGGUGCUGUUAAUUUAGAUGAUUCUCAAAUUGUAUUGAAUUAUUAGUUAUAUUUCACUCCAGUGCAGGACAAGUUCCAAUCUAAAUUCAAAUAUUUAUUUUCUUUUUAUCCUGCACAUAUUGUGUUUGCCUAGAUGAUUCCCAGUUGUAUUGAAUAACUAGAUUAUUUCACCCUAGUGCAGUAUAAGUUCCAAUAUGAUUUUAAAUAUGCAUUAUCUUUUUAUCGUUCACAUAUUGUGUUUGCCUAUUUAUAGUGCUGGUAUAGUGGAACCUCUCACAUGAAUCUGUUUGAUCCGGUGUCCUUACAAACAAUCUGAACAAUUGAUUAAUUCGUACUUGAUUCACUGAUAUGUCUAUACCUGGUUAUGUGAGGGAGCUUUGGUGGUAUAUCCUUUUUUGUAUAUUCUAACUUCAUGACAGUACUUGAUGAGAUUACUAUUAGUACAAUACCUAAUUGGGCGUAAGUUAUAUGUGUCUAGUAUGUAAAUUAGUCCUCAUAGUACAACUCAUAAUAUUUAUUUUGGCGUAAUACUUUAUUUUCUUAUUGCUUAGAAUAUAAUUAUAUACUUUUUUUUGCAGUUGAGGUGUAGUUUUAUUUUGAAUGCAUGUCGUUGUUUCCAUGGUACUGACAAGGACACGUAAACUUGGUGAAAAGGCUUUCGUAGAGACAUGAUUCUCAUGACUGGUGACAAUUAUACCUAUCUUGGUAUUGGUGAAGGCAGUCAAGGAUUCUCUGGUUUUGGCUUGAUCACAUACUGAUGAAAACAAGACUAAAUUCAUGACAACUGUCCGUGCUUUAAGAAGAUGGUUGGAUCCCCUUAUGUUUCAAUGUUUAGGGCAGUUGACCCUGCGUGCAAUUAUGGAUUUAUCCUCUGUCCAGACUCUGAAACUGCACAGUUUCUACGUGCUCAUUAUGUCACUGUUAGUCUGGAGAAGAUCUACUUUGAUGUUGUCAGCAGUGUGAAGCUCAUGCCAUUUGAUGAUGACAUUAAUCAGCAUCGAAGGGUCCUGAAGUGGAUAUAAGGUGUGUUCUGCACUUCUGCUCUAAAGAUUUGAAGAACUGUCUACUAUUGCUUCACAUUGGAUCGAUCAGUUUGGUUUGAUUUUGCUUAUCAUCUAAUCUGUAGUACUAUUGCUUCCUGCGUAGUUAGCUGAAGACUUUUUAUGUUAUUUAAAAAAGAAUGCGUAUGUGCUUCUUUUGCUCAGCUAAGGACCUGAUCCAUUUAAUAUUAUGUCUAAUAUAAAUCUGUACAAAAUUCUAUUGUGUUACCACUGAAUCUUUUACUUUCUUUUGACCACGUUGUUUUGUAUAUAUGAAAAAGCUUCUUAAAGCUCAGAUUAUUCAUUAAAGCAGCUUUUAGUUAUAACCAA